AUGACAGCAUCGGGUCCUUUCCACAGUGGCUCCAGGGACUUGCGUUGGUGUCUACGGAUCAGGACCCGGUCACCAGGCUUGAAACUCCCCCACUGCACUGGCUACCCCCUGGCUUACCUGUGAGAUGAAGGCAGGGCCAUUGUCUGACCCUAUCAUGUGUGGGAAGCCAAACCUGGUAAGGAUCUCUUUUUUUUUUUUUUUGGUUUUUCGAGACAGGGUUUCUCUGUGGCUUUGGAGCCUGUCCUGGAACUUGCUCUGUAGACCAGGCUGGUCUCGAACUCACAGAGAUCCGCUUGCCUCUGCCUCCCGAGUGAUCUCUUUAAGGAAUUUCUUAGCCACCACAUAGGCAGUCUUGUGUUUGGUAGGAUAAGCUUCAAUCCAUAUUUACCUGGUUUGACUUCUGUAAAGUCCACUUCCCAGUAUGUACCUGGGUGAGUUCCUCUCUCUUGGACACCUCUUUUUCCUUGUGUUUUAUAGGAGUUUACCAAUGAGCAUAUUUUGCCCUGCUUUACAUUAUAAAUUUUUGCCAUAUGCCAAGGCAUGCGUGCGGUAGCCUUCAGACCUGCCCGAUAGAGCCUGGCGGAAGACACGGAGACUCUCCUUACCUUCUGCUGUGUUGAAGUUCCAGUUAGAAUGGGUUGCUGGGAAGGCUGUUAGGGCUAGCAGAGGGUCCACUAGAGGGGCGUCUGUAGGUCCUGGGAGCAGCUUCCAGGUGUUUUCUAGGAUUCUGCUUCUCUCCUCAGUCGUAAAGAGGACCCCCAACAGCUGCUGGCGAUCGUCUUAUGUAGGGGCAUGGGUAAAAGGAACAGUUUCCAACAGGCUAAUCAAGUCCUGGGGGUCCUUGGAAAAUGGUGCAUUCUGAGCCUUCCAAUUAUACAAGUCACUGGAAACAAAUGACCAAUAAUGGAAGGGUUGGUUCCCUGAAUCAUCAGGAGGGCCAGCGGGUCUGAGAGGAAGGGCCACCGUGGAGUCUGGGUGUGGGGUCCCUGCCUUCCUGCUACGGGUAGACAGUGCCGGUGGCUCUCCUACCUCUGCCCCUGAUGGUUGGGGGGGCUGAGGCUUCUUCUACAGGAGCUGUGGGAUGUGGCUCGGGGAGACUGAGGGAAAUAGGGAGGUGGGAAAAGCUCUGUCUCCAUUGUUUCCCCCUGGAAUAAGCAGCAGGCUUUGUCCUAUUCUCUUCUUUACUUGCUGAGGGAGCUCUAGUCUUAGCAGUCAAAACUUGAGCGCCUUGGGUCUGCUGUGGAAGUAAGAACGGUACAAUCCAAGGAAGGGGUCCCCCUACCCUAUCUAUUAGCCCCCUCCAAGUAACAAAAUAGGGGACUUGGUCAGGGUGGCCACAGCAGAGGCGGAAGACAAUCUCCUCCACCCAGUGGAUAGUUGCUGGCCAGCCGACAUUGCAGGUGGGCCACUCAGUUGAACAAAAAGUGACCUAUUUCUUCUUUUUGACAGUUACACCGUUGUUGCUGACAGUAUCCUGGACGUCCUGCCAGUGAGCAGGAGUUAAGUUUAGGGGUCUUGACAGGGUAUUCCCCAUUGCUGAAGAGGAGAGCUGAAGAUAGAAGAGAGAAAGAAAGCAAAGCAACAAUCACCACAACAAAACACAAAAAGACUUUGACAAGUUCCUGAACAAAAUACAAGAUGGCAUUCCCCCCCCCACCCCCUACCCCCCGCAGUGGAGGGGGGGUACACAAACACACUCCUAAUGUUGAAAGCACAGGAUGGCUCCUGACCGCUUCCCGAAGGAGGUUUUCAAAACCAAAUGGCUGCCUCUGAGGUGGCCCAAAUGGCUCAGGACCGUGGGGUCUUUAGCCCAAACUGGGGAACGAAAUGUCUUUCUUUCCCUCCAGGUUCACUUUCCGGACAUGUCUGUCCCAGCGAGAAUCUGCCAAUUCCAGAAUCCCAGAUUGGUCAACUGGUACAGAACAAAAGUUACAAAACAACAACACAGACAAAAGACAAAGAGCAUCAUCUCUUACCGGUAGAUGCUAAUGAACCUCCGGACUCUCGGUCUGGUGGGAUCCCUGGGGUUUCCCGGCCACUGCACCAAACGUUGUGCCCAGAUUACCACCCCCAGAGAGACCACCAGAGACCAGAGAAGUCCAGACUGCAACAGCAAGGUUUAUUGUUAUUAUAAUGUGAGCUAGCUCAGAACUCAUCUCAAGCACUCCUCACAGUGAAGCAGAGAGGAGUUAGAGUCCUUCUGUGGGGUUAGCUUUUCAAAGGCAAAAUCCACAAGCCCUUCAGGGCCCUCAGAGGGGUUUGGCAGGGGUACAAGGUUUUUCCUCUUUCCCAUUCUGUUUUGUCAGUUUGCUUUGUUUUUAGAGCAAGGUCACACUGUCCCUGAGUCAGGACACCUUUCUCAGACUCCACCAGGUGUGUGUGUGGGGGGGCACUAUCAUUACUGAGCACGUGAAGCUAGUCUGGGGUUUUUGAUUUUAAAACAUUCUGCUAGGAAAUUCCUUCUCAUUCCUUUGAGAAUAAGGGAUGAGGGUCUUACAAUGGUUCGUAGGCAAUGACUGUUACUGCUAGGAAAAUUAUUUGAAAAUAAAAAUGAAUCCACACCAGAUAGACAAUGUUGCAGAAAUAUUUGUCCUGGGUUUUUAAGUUUUAAAAAGCAUCCUCUGAUGGGCCCCGGAAGUGCUUCACUCUGCUGCUUCGCUUUCCUCUCUCAUCUUCGGCUGCCUUUCUGCCCUCCUCAUCAGGAAAGUGUGGCUGAGAUACGGAAAGUCAUAGGUGGUGGCACAGGCUAUAUAGGUCUUGCUGCUUGUUCUGGUGGUGAAGGUAGACCCAGCCCCCUCUUCUCUCACACAGCGUGGUUUUUCCUCCAGUGUGUCAACUGCAGGCCAACGUCCAAGGCUCUGGUUCCCACCAUUGUGGCUCCACCCAGGCCAUCUCUACACACCAGCGUCAUGUGCCUUUGGAACUUAGGCUCAAACUAGGGCCCGAGACAGAAUGGUGUCUGAUAUUAGCUGAUUCUAUUCUGACCAGUCAGCUAAGUAAGAACCCUACAGACAGGAAGGGGAAACAGAUGAUCAGGGGCGGGGAGAGGCACCUCAGGCAGCUCCUGUGGCCACCAGUGUCAACCUCUCAGGCACUUGGCCAGGCUCUGGUGAAGAAGGAAGCACAGCUUGCUCACGGUUUGGACAGUUCAGGUUUCCAGCGGCUGUGGGUGUCACGAAGUGGCAGAUAAUAAAACAGACAGAAUAAAGUAUCCAGCAAGAAAGAGUGGUUUGGAAUUUCCCCGGGAGAAAAGCAGACACUGGAGUUAAAGGUAACACGCUCUUUGCGUCAUGCAUCGGCUGUGGCUGUGACAGCAAGCUUCCGCGGAGAUAAGGACAGAGCAUUUGCAGGUUGCUUGAAAUAGUGAUUUAUAGCAUAGAGACCUGACAUGGUCCCCUCCAGCUCAGGGACUAGCUUCCUAGGUCCUGUGGAACAAAUACUCUCAGGCAACUCUAUGAGGAAGGCAGAGAUAGGGAAUUGCUUGUAGGAGAACUAACCCAAGACCCUAAGGGCCCAUAGAACACAGGAACAGCAAAUCCAGUAUGGCUAGAGCACGCUCAAUCUCCAUCGGUUCCAGGACAGCUUUGACAGCGACAUUUUCUUCUUGCAUUUUAUUUGCUGGUGUUUCUAUUAUCCUCUGAAGUCCAGAGCAUUGCCUGAGGAGACCGCAGCAGCAGAACAGGAACUCCACCUCUCCGCGGGUCUCCAUGAGGUUCUGGGAACCGUCAGCACAUCCAAAUUAGGAUCUCCAGGAAGGCUCACAUGCUGAUGCGGGGCCUAGGAAGAAAAUGAGAUAAAACCGCCCAGGAUGACAUAUGCACCAAUGAAACCCGUGGAUCUGAGAGCCAAGGCCAUGAUCUUCCUCACAGCAAUCACGUUGGUUCUGACUGUUGUCAUGAGGGAUGGAGACUACCUUACGAGUGUCAGCAAUUCUCUAAGUAUUUUUUUUUAAUCACAUCUGCCUUCCUUCACGAUCCUUGCCAGCAUUUCUGACCCGGAACUACGUAAAGAAGAGGAUCGUGGGAAGCGUGAUUCCUAGCCUUAGGGGAGGCCGUGCCUGUAAGCCUGUAGAUUGACCGGCAGAUUUCUGUGAUGAGUAAACCCAGCGGGGCCUUAACUCUCUCAGAUCACGCAUGAAUGUGUGUUUAAAGAGCAGCAAGUGAUGCCUUGGAAAUGGAAGAGAAAUCAAGGAAUGCUGGUCAUCGCGUUUUUGCUCUUCUCUGCCAAACAAGUCUGAUGAAAUUUAAUCCUGCAUUCACCGGUGGGUUCACAAUUGUCCCUGGUCUGCAAGAUAACACCCCUUGGGCCAAGAAAAACUAAGAAGCUCAUCACCUGCAUAUUGAUGCUUUUGUUUUCAGACUCAAGGAAGCACCCUUCCUUAUAACCUUUUAAAUCACUUAGAGUUCCGUUUGCCUGGAUUUAUAAAGGGUCUCUUGGAGCUAAAAGUAUUGGAGGCUGAUUGCUUAAUUAUGUACACUGUGCCUGUGGACCGCCAGUUCUCUUUUUUACUGUUCUCAGUAAUUUGAUCUUCCUAGAAACAAACUCUGAAAAAUAUAAACAGUAAAUAUUGCAUUAAAGGCUUGAACUAAACUUCCUACUUGCUUGGGUGAAGGAACAAGACCCCUGAUGUGGUCCAGACUGUCCAGGACUCACAGGCCUGAGUCUGGCUAAGCAGUAAGAAGUGAUUCUACUGCCUUGAAAGGCAGGGAAAUGGACUUGCGGUGGAAAACGGGCACCAGGCGCCUUCUGCACGUUUUCGUGACUUAAAAAAACAUCAAAACUAAGUAGACAUUUCGAGUUUAUUAUUAUCUCAUUGACAUUUCUGGAAGUAUUUCUUUGUUUUCCAAAUUCCAGUGUCUGGUACUAAGACAUUGAAGAGUAGAACACCUUCAGAUUUAUUCUUCAGUGACUUAUUUCAAAACCGAAGUUUACGUGUGUUCUGAUCAGUGAAAUAGGAUGUCGACUCCUGGGGACAUAUGCUAAGUAGUGGUAUAGCCAGGUCCUACAGCCCAUUUAUUUUUAGUCUUCUGAGCACCCUCCCUGCUGAUUUCCAGAGUGGCUGCAUCAGUUUGCAGUUCCACUCGCUGUAAAUGGCUGCUUCUCUCUUCCCCAGAGCCUCCCCAGCCUUGUUUGCCAGCUCUUUGGUUGCUUUUAACCAUUCUGACCAACAUGAGAUGCAACCUCAGAAUUAUUUCAAUUUGAAUCUCCCUGCUAGCUAAGAAUGAUGAGCCGUUUUUGAGGGAUCACUUACCAUAUUUUUUAAUGAGAACCCACUGUUUAGAUUCCUAGCUCAUCCUUACAUUGGAUCAUUUGUUUCCUGAGUUCUUUGGAUAUUCUGGAAAUUAAUCCUCAGAUGUAUAGCUAACAAAGGUUCUCUCCUACUCUGAGUUUCUUCUCCAGUUAAUCAGCUGUGCCCUCAGCUAGACCAUAGACUUUAGUUUCACAAGGUCCCUGGUGUGGGGCAUCCACCACAGAAGACUGCUCAGACACAGAUUUAAGCCAAUAGAAAGUAUUAGCCAACUGGCACCUAUACUACAUGUUUGGGAUCAGUGCAGCACCAAGCUUUUCUUGGGGUACACUUUCUUUCUCCCUCCUUCUUAUUUAUUCUGUGUCUUUCACACCAUGCAUCUUCAUCCCAUUCAUUUCCCUAUCCCUUCGUAUCCACCCUCUGCCCUUGUACACCCCCCCAAUAAAACAAAAUAAAUCUUAAGAGAAAAGAGAAAAAGCGAGAGAGAGAG
Molecule: long non-coding RNA, 5738 nt
Organism: Alexandromys fortis (reed vole)
Lineage: Eukaryota; Metazoa; Chordata; Mammalia; Rodentia; Cricetidae
Exons: 3
Source: RefSeq, a predicted model, not a curated record